GCAAGUCGAGGGGCAGCGGGGGUAGCGAUACCCGCCUGCGACCGGCGCACGGGUGAGUAACGCGUAUUCAACUUGCCUAUCAGAUGGGGAUAACCCGGCGAAAGUCGGACUAAUACCGCAUGAAGCAGGGGCCCCGCAUGGGGGUAUUUGCUAAAGAUUCAUCGCUGAUAGAUAGGCAUGCGUUCCAUUAGGCAGUUGGCGGGGUAACGGCCCACCAAACCGACGAUGGAUAGGGGUUCUGAGAGGAAGGUC
This 252-nucleotide ribosomal RNA is filed under the name uncultured bacterium. RNAcentral describes it as "partial 16S ribosomal RNA". It matches the Rfam family "Bacterial small subunit ribosomal RNA", at positions 57 to 305 of the family's 1533-position model. The record is from RNAcentral.